Molecule: unclassified non-coding RNA, 415 nt
Filed under: Hevea brasiliensis (rubber tree)
Lineage: Eukaryota; Viridiplantae; Streptophyta; Magnoliopsida; Malpighiales; Euphorbiaceae
Source: RNAcentral
GAGAUACUUUGCUUCUUGGACAAGUUUAUCGACUCAUCUGCUUCGAAGAUGUACUAAAAGAGUUUGCUGCAAAGAAGUGCGUGAAACUUGGCAAGUUGCUCAGGGAAAGUGGAGGCCUUGUUCUCGAUUCAAAGAAAAUCUCCGUCGAUUCUUCAGCAGUGAAAAACAAGCCCAAAAUGGUGAAUGGAAUCCCAGCUAAGAUGGAACAUGAAACUUAUCAAAAUGGAAGCAGUAGCAGCAGUGGGCAAAGAAGUGUGGGAAGGCAUCAUGGUGGUGUGGGGCAAUGGAAACCAGCCUUACAGAGUAUUGCAGAGAUUGGAACUUGAACUAUACCCACCAUUAAGCAUUACACUUUCCCUACCAUGGCUAAACCUUUUCCAAAAUAAGAAAGGAUAGCAACUCAAUUGUCCCUAGC